GACGAACUGUCCUAACGUUGUUCGGAAUCACUGGGCUUAAAGGGCGCGUAGGCGGUCUGACAAGUCAGGGGUGAAAUCCUGCAGCUUAACUGUAGAAGUGCCUUUGAUACUGUCAGUCUUGAGGGAAAUAGGGGUGUGCGGAACUUCCAGUGGAGCGGUGAAAUGCGUUGAUAUUGGAAGGAACGCCGGGGGCGAAAGCGGCGCACUGGAUUUCUUCUGACGCUGAGGCGCGAAAGCUAGGGGAGCAAACGGG
Molecule: ribosomal RNA, 253 nt
Filed under: uncultured bacterium
Lineage: Bacteria
Description: partial 16S ribosomal RNA
Rfam family: Bacterial small subunit ribosomal RNA
Source: RNAcentral